GGGGCCGUCGGCUAGUCUGGUAGGCUGCGUGCCCCGGGCGCACGCGACUGGAGUUCAAAUCUCCACGGCCCCA
RNAcentral lists this transfer RNA (73 nucleotides) under Candidatus Marsarchaeota G2 archaeon OSP_D. Its description in RNAcentral is "tRNA-Pro". Lineage: Archaea; Thermoproteati; Thermoproteota. The record is from RNAcentral. RNAcentral also lists the same sequence under 4 other names.